This 31-nucleotide non-coding RNA is filed under the name Macaca fascicularis (crab-eating macaque). Lineage: Eukaryota; Metazoa; Chordata; Mammalia; Primates; Cercopithecidae. RNAcentral also lists the same sequence under 1 other name. The record is from RNAcentral.
UGUAUCUAAUCGGGAUGCAGAUGCCUGAAAC